This 737-nucleotide long non-coding RNA is filed under the name Capsicum annuum. Its description in RNAcentral is "long non-coding RNA (CANN_LNC019744)". The record is from RNAcentral. Lineage: Eukaryota; Viridiplantae; Streptophyta; Magnoliopsida; Solanales; Solanaceae.
AAUUCUAUUCCAUCCCUCUCCCAACCCUUCAUCCCGUUCAGCCUCUUCAUUGAUUGAAUUUGAAAACCAGCCCUUUCACUGAUCUUCUUCUAUUCACAGUAAAACCUUCCAUACAUCCCAGGUACACUUCUUUCCCUUUUCACCCUGAAUCAUUGAAACUUUCACACCAAAGACCAUAGAAAUUCACCACUUUCUAUGUUAAAACUUAGCCUUGUUUGUUUUCUGGGUCAUUUUCUUAUUUUUAUAUUCUUGGUGCGAGCAAAAUUUGAUCAUCAUAUGAUUUGUUGCUAAAAAAAAUUGAACUUUCUUAUCGUAAUGUUUGGACUAAUCCCACUUUGAAACAUACUCUUCCUUCUCUUAUCUUUGUGUCUUUUGUGUUUAGGUCUUUUUCCAAACACUUCAUUGUGGUCAAGUAAAGCAUAUUGUUAUACACUUGUAAUCAGAAUUGCAUUAAUGCUAGUAACAGGGAUUCUAUAAAUAAAAGGCAGUAACGUUGUAAAUUUAGGAAAGAACAUUAAUCUUAAAAGAUAAAAUCAAGAUAUGGAACAAGCAUCGGGGGAAGGAGCACUACAUAGAGGGAAGCUGUAAACAAUAUUCCCUCCGUCCCAAAUUACCCAUCCUAAUUUGAGAUGACACAUUGAUUAAAAAAAAUAAUUGUUAACAUGCCUAGUUUACCAUUGUACCCCUAUUAAAUGAUGUUUACAUUUUAAUUUGAAGAAAAAGUAAUUAAUGCAAAG